GACCAGCCACCGGUUGGGCAGAAGCCGCCGGCGUCGGCCUGGGAUUGGACCACGUCACGGGGCCAGCGCGCUGCACUCUUUCCUCCCCAGCGCCGGCCCCGGAGCGACCGCGGGACAUUUUCCGGCGCUGGAUGCUUUGCUGCCGGGGUUCGGGAGUAACCUGCGCUUGGAGCAGGUCGGCCGCACUGCAGUCCCGCACUCAGGGCUCUUCUUCCGGUCACCUGGAGAGCCCGGCCGAGGAAUGGAAUGACAGACAUCCUGUCCGCAGCCCCGCGGAGGAGGCGCUGGCCUGCCGCUCCAUAGAAAUGUGCGCAGUCGCCCGGGCGCGGUGGCUCACGCCUGUAAUCCCAGCAUUUUGGGAGGCCGAGGCGGGCGAAUCACUUGAGGUCAGGAGUUCGAGACCAGCCUGGCCAACAUGGUGAAACCCCGUCUCUACCAAAACUACAAAAAUUAGCCGGGCGUGGUGUUGGGCGCCUUUAAUCCCAGCUACUCAGGAGGCUGAGGCAGGAGAAUUGCUUGAAUCCGGGAGGCGGAGGUUGCAGUGAGCCCAGACUGCGCCACUGCACUCCAGCCUGGGCGACAACCACAAGACUCCUAAUCAAAAAACAAAAAGAAAAAGAAAUGUGCGCAGUCCUUGGAGAGUGCAUUUUCCUUAAGUGUGGAUGGAAAUAAGUCAUCUGUUUUCUCUCCUACUAAGUUGAUGCCUGGCCACCCUUCACAGAAAGGCCCGCUUGAAGGCCCUGGCUGUCAGGGCCAGGGCUGUGUCAAGCCUGAACUUGUUUAAGGAGCUCUUAGCUCUUCCUUUCUCUACAUUUUUCGUGAUGCUUAGGUGGAGAGUGGUCCGGUGUCUAUGCUUAGAAGGAAAAAUUAUUGGCAGUCCCAGAGAGAGUCUAUUCUUCCUUUUAAGAAUAGUUAUGUAUUCAGGCAGUAGACAAAUUGGUAGAAAUAGAAAUUCACUUAAAAUUUUAACAGAAUUUAAUUACACAAAUAAUACACAAAUGUAAUCUUUAAAAAAUUCAUUCUACAUAAAGGUAAAUUUCCGCCUUCUCCCCUCUCCCCUCUCCCCUUCUUCGGUCUCCCUCUCCUUCUUUUUUCGGUCUCCCUCUGUUGCCAAAGCUGGACUGUACUGCCGUGAUCUCGGCUCGCUGCAACCUCCCUGCCUCGGGCUCCUGUGAUUCUCCUGCCUCGGCCUGCUGAGUGCCUGGGAUUGCAGGCGUGCGCCGCCACGCCUGACUGGUCUUUGUAUUUUUGGUGGAGACGGGGUUUCGCCGUGUUGACCGGGCUGGUAUCCAGCUCCUGGCCUCGAGGGAUCUGCCCGCCUCGGCCUCCCGAGGUGCUGGGAUUGCAGACGGAGUCUCGCUCACUCAAUGCUCAAUGUUGCUCAGGCUGGAGUGCAGUGGCGUGAUCUCGGCUCGCUACAGCCUCCACCUCCCAGCCGCCUGCCUUGGCCUCCUAAAGUGCUAAGAUUACAGCCUCUGCCCCGCCGCCACCACGUCUAGGAAGUGAGGAGAGCCUCUGCCUGGCUGCCAUCCUGUAUAGGAAGUGAGGAGCGUCUCUGCCCCGCCGCCCAUCGUCUGGGAUGUGAGGAGCGCCUCUGUCCAGUUGUCCCGUCUAGGAGGUGAGGAGCACCUCUGCCCGGCCGCCACCCCGUGUGGGAGGAAGUGAGGAGCGCCUCUACCUGGCCGCCCCAUCUGGAAAGUGAGGAGCGCCUCUGCCCGGCCGCCCCGUCUGGGAGGUGAGGAGCGCCUCUGCCCGGCCGCCCCGUCUGGGAGGUGAGGAGCGCCUCUGCCCGGCCGCCCCGUCUGGGAGGUGAGGAGCGCCUCUGCCCGGCCGCCCCGUCUGGGAGAUGAGGAGCGCCUCUGCCCGGCCACCCAACGUCUGGGAGGUGAGGAGCACCUCUGCCCGGCCGCCCUGUCUGGGAGGUGAGGAGCGCCUCUGCCCGGCCGCCUCCCCGUCUGGGAGGAAGUGAGGAGCACCUCUGCCCGGCCGCCCCGUCUGGGAAGUGAGGAGCGCCUCUGCCUGGCCGCCCCCCGUCUGGGAUGUGAGGAGCGCCUCUGCCCUGUCUGGGAGGUGUACCCAACAGCUCCGAAGAGACAGCGACCAUCGGGAGCGGGCCAUGAGGACGAUGGUGGUUAUGUUGAAAAGAAAGGGGGGAAGUGUGGGGAAAGGAAGGAGAGAUCAGAUUGUUGCUGUGUCUGUGUAGAAAGAGGUGGGCAUAGGAGACUCCAUUUUGUUCUGACUAGGAGAAAUUCUUCUGUCUUGGGAUGCUGUUGAUCUAUGGCCUUUCCCCCAGCCCCGUGCUCUCUGAAACAUGUGCUGUGUCAACUCAGGGUUAAAUGGAUUAAGGGCGGUGCAAGAUGUGCUUUGUUAAACAGAUGCUUGAAGGCAGCAUGCUCUUUAAGAGUCAUCACCACUCCCUAAUCUCAAGUACCCAGGGACACAAACACUGCAGAAGGCCGCAGGGUCCUCUGCCUAGGAAAACCAGAGACCUUUGUUCAUGUGUUUAUCUCCCGACCUUCUCUCCACUAUUAUCCUAUGACCCUGCCAUAUCCCCCUCUCCGAGAAACACCCAAGAAUGAUCAAUAAAUACUUAAUUAAAAAAAAAGGUAAAUUUCCUUGACGCCAACCCAAACCCCCACUCUCUCGUGGAGGUAUCUGCUAUUGUCAGUGUGGUGUAUAAGCUUCCAGGUAUUUCCCCCUUUUACACAUAUAUAUAUCCUAGAAACAUGUAGCUUUUAUCUUUUCAUAAUAUACAUUUUUUUAUUUUUUGUAACCAACACCUUGUUUGCCUUUUAUCUUUUUUAAAACCAUAAAAUGUUACACAAUUACAUUGUUUGCAAUUUUUUUUAAACUAAUAAAUUGGAGCAUUUUUUAAACUAAUAAACUAAUAAAAUGGAGCAUUUUGCAUGUAA
Pongo pygmaeus (Bornean orangutan) is the source of this 2912-nucleotide long non-coding RNA. RefSeq lists it as uncharacterized. The record is from RefSeq and is a predicted model, not a curated record. Lineage: Eukaryota; Metazoa; Chordata; Mammalia; Primates; Hominidae. The transcript is spliced from 2 exons.